RNAcentral lists this ribosomal RNA (465 nucleotides) under Vreelandella stevensii. Its description in RNAcentral is "partial 16S ribosomal RNA". It matches the Rfam family "Bacterial small subunit ribosomal RNA", at positions 338 to 795 of the family's 1533-position model. Lineage: Bacteria; Pseudomonadati; Pseudomonadota; Gammaproteobacteria; Oceanospirillales; Halomonadaceae. The record is from RNAcentral.
CCUACGGGGGGCAGCAGUGGGGAAUAUUGGACAAUGGGGGCAACCCUGAUCCAGCCAUGCCGCGUGUGUGAAGAAGGCCCUCGGGUUGUAAAGCACUUUCAGUGAGGAAGAACGCCUGGUGGUUAAUACCCAUCAGGAAAGACAUCACUCACAGAAGAAGCACCGGCUAACUCCGUGCCAGCAGCCGCGGUAAUACGGAGGGUGCGAGCGUUAAUCGGAAUUACUGGGCGUAAAGCGCGCGUAGGUGGCUUGAUAAGCCGGUUGUGAAAGCCCCGGGCUCAACCUGGGAACGGCAUCCGGAACUGUCAAGCUAGAGUGCAGGAGAGGAAGGUAGAAUUCCCGGUGUAGCGGUGAAAUGCGUAGAGAUCGGGAGGAAUACCAGUGGCGAAGGCGGCCUUCUGGACUGACACUGACACUGAGGUGCGAAAGCUUGGGUAGCAAACAGGAUUAGAUACCCCUGUAGUC